RNAcentral lists this long non-coding RNA (658 nucleotides) under Mytilus galloprovincialis (Mediterranean mussel). Lineage: Eukaryota; Metazoa; Mollusca; Bivalvia; Mytilida; Mytilidae. The record is from RNAcentral.
GUUUGUUUAAAGUAUUUACAGAAAAAAAAAUCAUAAAAAUGUUCUAUUGUAUUAUUUACUAGAAUUCGUAUAAAAAAUCCACACAUGAAUCCUACAAUCUAAUUUUAAAAGUUGCAUGGCUAUCACUUACUUUUCGUUGGUUAAUAGCUACACCAAAAGUCGUCGAUGCGCUUUAAAUAGCGUUAUUAGAUGGUUAACGAACAAGACUUAAAUAAGAUUAAUUUCACUCCCGGCAUGCUCAAAGACUUAAACUACGUCACAUAAGUCAGGAAGUUUGAUAAAAUAAAAUUAAUAAUUCCCAAUUUUCUUCUUUAUUACUUUUCAUAUCGAAAUAAAACUUGGUGAAUAUGUUUUUUAUGGUAUUAUGAACAUAAUAAGAUGAAAAGUGAAAAAUCGCAAAUUAUCCCUUUAAGUACCCCAUAAGGUUCACCAAUUCUGGUGUAAUUUUAAAGUGCUCCUUUUGGUUUGCCACAAAUGGAUACGCAUUCAAGUGUGCUCCUUAAGGUUCAUCAAAGCAGGGUGUGCUCUAAAGUGUUUCUUUAAGCACAUCCUCACUUUUACGGAAAUGUUGUUAACCGUGCCCGGAAAUUUAGAAAAGAUCCUGGUAAACUUAUCGACCCUUUAAAACAAACUUAUUCUGAAAUGUUACCAAUUCAAC